GAGCGCGACCAUGGAGGCAGGGAUCACCCGGUCCCAUUCCGAACCCGGCAGUUAAGCCUGCCAUCGCCGAAAGUACUGCGGGUCCAGCCCGUGGGAGGACAGGACGUCGCGCUCG
RNAcentral lists this ribosomal RNA (115 nucleotides) under Eggerthella sinensis. The record is from RNAcentral. Lineage: Bacteria; Bacillati; Actinomycetota; Coriobacteriia; Eggerthellales; Eggerthellaceae.